UACGUAGGGUGCAAGCGUUGUCCGGAAUUAUUGGGCGUAAAGAGCUCGUAGGCGGUUUGUCGCGUCUGCUGUGAAAACCCGAGGCUCAACCUCAGGCCUGCAGUGGGUACGGGCAGACUAGAGUGCGGUAGGGGAGAUUGGAAUUCCUGGUGCAGCGGUGGAAUGCGCAGAUAUCAGGAGGAACACCAAUGGCGAAGGCAGAUCUCUGGGCCGUAACUGACGCUGAGGAGCGAAAGCAUGGGGAGCGAACAGG
RNAcentral lists this ribosomal RNA (253 nucleotides) under uncultured bacterium. Its description in RNAcentral is "partial 16S ribosomal RNA". It matches the Rfam family "Bacterial small subunit ribosomal RNA", at positions 524 to 776 of the family's 1533-position model. The record is from RNAcentral.